CAGCGGCAGCCAGAAGGAACCGCCUGUCACCUGGGCUACCUAGAAAGGCAAUCCAGCUGUGGAGCCACCCCGGCCCUGCUACAUGCACAAGGAGCAGC
Gavialis gangeticus (Gharial) is the source of this 98-nucleotide long non-coding RNA. RefSeq lists it as uncharacterized. Lineage: Eukaryota; Metazoa; Chordata; Crocodylia; Gavialidae. The record is from RefSeq and is a predicted model, not a curated record. The transcript has 3 exons.